This 782-nucleotide ribosomal RNA is filed under the name Pseudomonas sp. RNAcentral describes it as "bacterial SSU rRNA". It matches the Rfam family "Bacterial small subunit ribosomal RNA", at positions 427 to 1200 of the family's 1533-position model. Lineage: Bacteria; Pseudomonadati; Pseudomonadota; Gammaproteobacteria; Pseudomonadales; Pseudomonadaceae. The record is from RNAcentral.
AAAGCACUUUAAGUUGGGAGGAAGGGCAGUAAGUUAAUACCUUGCUGUUUUGACGUUACCAACAGAAUAAGCACCGGCUAACUUCGUGCCAGCAGCCGCGGUAAUACGAAGGGUGCAAGCGUUAAUCGGAAUUACUGGGCGUAAAGCGCGCGUAGGUGGUUCAGCAAGUUGGAUGUGAAAUCCCCGGGCUCAACCUGGGAACUGCAUCCAAAACUACUGAGCUAGAGUACGGUAGAGGGUGGUGGAAUUUCCUGUGUAGCGGUGAAAUGCGUAGAUAUAGGAAGGAACACCAGUGGCGAAGGCGACCACCUGGACUGAUACUUGACACUGAGGUGCGAAUAGCGUGGGGAGCAAACAGGAUUAGAUACCCUGGUAGUCCACGCCGUAAACGAUGUCGACUACCCGUUGGGAUCCUUGAGAUCUUAGUGGCGCAGCUAACGCGAUAAGUCGACCGCCUGGGGAGUACGGCCGCAAGGUUAAAACUCAAAUGAAUUGACGGGGGCCCGCACAAGCGGUGGAGCAUGUGGUUUAAUUCCAAGCAACGCGAACAACCUUACCUGGCCUUGACAUGCUGAGAACUUUCCAAAGAUGGAUUGGUGCCUUCGGGAACUCAGACACAGGUGCUGCAUGGCUGUCGUCCGCUCGUGUCGUGAGAUGUUGGGUUAAGUCCCGUAACGAGCGCAACCCUUGUCCUUAGUUACCAGCACCUCGGGUGGGCACUCUAAGGAGACUGCCGGUGACAAACCGGAGGAAGGUGGGGAUGACGUCAAGUCAUCAUGGCC